RNAcentral lists this ribosomal RNA (253 nucleotides) under uncultured bacterium. RNAcentral's name for it is "partial 16S ribosomal RNA". It matches the Rfam family "Bacterial small subunit ribosomal RNA", at positions 524 to 776 of the family's 1533-position model. The record is from RNAcentral.
UACGUAGGGUGCGAGCGUUGUCCGGAAUUAUUGGGCGUAAAGAGCUCGUAGGCGGUUUGUUGCGUCGGCCGUGAAAACCUGCAGCUUAACUGUGGGCCUGCGGCCGAUACGGGCAGACUUGAGUUCGGUAGGGGAGACUGGAAUUCCUGGUGCAGCGGUGAAAUGCGCAGAUAUCAGGAGGAACACCGGUGGCGAAGGCGGGUCUCUGGGCCGAUACUGACGCUGAGGAGCGAAAGCGUGGGGAGCGAACAGG